This 1376-nucleotide ribosomal RNA is filed under the name uncultured bacterium. RNAcentral describes it as "bacterial SSU rRNA". It matches the Rfam family "Bacterial small subunit ribosomal RNA", at positions 1 to 1366 of the family's 1533-position model. The record is from RNAcentral.
GGGAAUUCGAUUAGAGUUUGAUCAUGGCUCAGAUUGAACGCUGGCGGCAUGCCUUACACAUGCAAGUCGAACGGCAGCAUGAUCUAGCUUGCUAGAUUGAUGGCGAGUGGCGAACGGGUGAGUAAUACAUCGGAACGUGCCCUGUAGUGGGGGAUAACUAGUCGAAGGAUUAGCUAAUACCGCAUACGACCUGAGGGUGAAAGUGGGGGACCGCAAGGCCUCAUGCUAUAGGAGCGGCCGAUGUCUGAUUAGCUAGUUGGUGAGGUAAAGGCUCACCAAGGCGACGAUCAGUAGCUGGUCUGAGAGGACGAUCAGCCACACUGGGACUGAGACACGGCCCAGACUCCUACGGGAGGCAGCAGUGGGGAAUUUUGGACAAUGGGGGCAACCCUGAUCCAGCAAUGCCGCGUGUGUGAAGAAGGCCUUCGGGUUGUAAAGCACUUUUGUCCGGAAAGAAAUCGCACUUACUAAUAUUAGGUGUGGAUGACGGUACCGGAAGAAUAAGGACCGGCUAACUACGUGCCAGCAGCCGCGGUAAUACGUAGGAUCCAAGCGUUAAUCGGAAUUACUGGGCGUAAAGCGUGCGCAGGCGGUUGUGCAAGACCGAUGUGAAAUCCCCGGGCUUAACCUGGGAAUUGCAUUGGUGACUGCACGGCUAGAGUGUGUCAGAGGGGGGUAGAAUUCCACGUGUAGCAGUGAAAUGCGUAGAGAUGUGGAGGAAUACCGAUGGCGAAGGCAGCCCCCUGGGAUAACACUGACGCUCAUGCACGAAAGCGUGGGGAGCAAACAGGAUUAGAUACCCUGGUAGUCCACGCCCUAAACGAUGUCAACUAGUUGUUGGGGAUUCAUUUCCUUAGUAACGUAGCUAACGCGUGAAGUUGACCGCCUGGGGAGUACGGUCGCAAGAUUAAAACUCAAAGGAAUUGACGGGGACCCGCACAAGCGGUGGAUGAUGUGGAUUAAUUCGAUGCAACGCGAAAAACCUUACCUACCCUUGACAUGCCACUAACGAAGCAGUGAUGCAUUAGGUGCUCGAAAGAGAAAGUGGACACAGGUGCUGCAUGGCUGUCGUCAGCUCGUGUCGUGAGAUGUUGGGUUAAGUCCCGCAACGAGCGCAACCCUUGUCUCUAGUUGCUACGAAAGGGCACUCUAGAGAGACUGCCGGUGACAAACCGGAGGAAGGUGGGGAUGACGUCAAGUCCUCAUGGCCCUUAUGGGUAGGGCUUCACACGUCAUACAAUGGUGCAUACAGAGGGUUGCCAAGCCGCGAGGUGGAGCUAAUCCCAGAAAAUGCAUCGUAGUCCGGAUCGUAGUCUGCAACUCGACUACGUGAAGCUGGAAUCGCUAGUAAUCGCGGAUCAGCAUGCCGCGGUGAA